RNAcentral lists this ribosomal RNA (407 nucleotides) under Verrucomicrobiota bacterium. RNAcentral describes it as "Verrucomicrobia bacterium partial 16S ribosomal RNA". It matches the Rfam family "Bacterial small subunit ribosomal RNA", at positions 355 to 776 of the family's 1533-position model. Lineage: Bacteria; Pseudomonadati; Verrucomicrobiota. The record is from RNAcentral.
UGGGGAAUAUUGGGCAAUGGGCGAAAGCCUGACCCAGCAACGCCGCGUGAAGUAUGAAGGCCUUCGGGUUGUAAACUUCUUUGAUCAGGGAAGAAACAAAUGACGGUACCUGAAAAACAAGCCACGGCUAACUACGUGCCAGCAGCCGCGGUAAUACGUAGGUGGCGAGCGUUAUCCGGAUUUACUGGGUGUAAAGGGCGUGCAGGCGGGCUGAUAAGUCAGACGUGAAAUCCCCGAGCUUAACUCGGGAACUGCAUCUGAUACUGUUGGUCUUGAGUGCUGGAGAGGAUAGUGGAAUUCCUAGUGUAGCGGUAAAAUGCGCAGAUAUUAGGAGGAACACCAGUGGCGAAGGCGGCUAUCUGGACAGUAACUGACGCUGAGGCGCGAAAGCGUGGGUAGCAAACAGG